Cucurbita maxima (winter squash) is the source of this 72-nucleotide non-coding RNA. Lineage: Eukaryota; Viridiplantae; Streptophyta; Magnoliopsida; Cucurbitales; Cucurbitaceae. The record is from the annotation of a RefSeq genome assembly.
GCCCUUAUAGCUUAAUGGUAGAGUAUCAGUCUUGUAAACUGAAGGUUCGUAGUUCAAUCCGGCGUGGGGGCA